UUACGGUCACAUCACAUUGUAGCACCGCUUUCCGUACGAUCAUGGAAGUUAAGCAAUAUGAAUCUGGUCAGUACCUAGAUGGGUGAACUCUUGGGAAUUCUAGGUGCUAUA
Molecule: non-coding RNA, 111 nt
Organism: Acanthosepion pharaonis
Lineage: Eukaryota; Metazoa; Mollusca; Cephalopoda; Sepiida; Sepiidae
Source: the annotation of a GenBank genome assembly